This 63-nucleotide transfer RNA is filed under the name Physopelta slanbuschii. RNAcentral's name for it is "tRNA-Asn". The record is from RNAcentral. Lineage: Eukaryota; Metazoa; Arthropoda; Insecta; Hemiptera; Largidae.
UUAGUUAAAGCCAAAAAGAGGCCUCUUAUUGUUAAUAAGAAAAAUGAUUCAUAUCUAACUAAA